ACGGCGAGUGAAGAGGGAAAAGCCCAAAUUUGUAAUCUGACUUUUUUUAAGGGAGUCUGAGUUGUAAUUUUGAGAACUGUUUUCAAUGCUGGACCAUGUACAAGUCUGUUGAAAAACAGCAUCAUUGAGGGUGAUAAUCCCGUCCAUGAUAUGGACUACCAUGUGUGAUAUGAUACAGUCUCUAAGAGUCGAGUUGUUUGGGAAUGCAGCUCAAAAAGGGUGGUAAAUUCCAUCUAAGGCUAAAUAUUGGUGAGAGACCGAUAGCAAACAAGUACCGUGAGGGAAAGAUGAAAAGAACUUUGGAAAGAGAGUUAACAGUACGUGAAAUUGUUAAAAGGGAAACAAUUGAAGUUAGUCUUGUUAUUAUUGGUUCAGCUUUAAUUAGUGUAUUCUGAUUUUUAACAGAUCAACAUCAAUUCUUGGGUGUUGGAUAAGGGUCUUGAGAAAUGUAGCAGCUUUUUUGCUGUGUUAUAGUCUGUGAAACUUUGAUACAGUGCCUAGGAUUGAGGAUUGCAGUGAGC
Molecule: ribosomal RNA, 521 nt
Filed under: Tranzschelia fusca
Lineage: Eukaryota; Fungi; Basidiomycota; Pucciniomycetes; Pucciniales; Raveneliaceae
Description: eukaryotic LSU rRNA
Rfam family: Eukaryotic large subunit ribosomal RNA
Source: RNAcentral